This 249-nucleotide ribosomal RNA is filed under the name uncultured bacterium. Its description in RNAcentral is "partial 16S ribosomal RNA". It matches the Rfam family "Bacterial small subunit ribosomal RNA", at positions 524 to 771 of the family's 1533-position model. The record is from RNAcentral.
UACGAGGGGGGCAAGCGUUUGUUCGGAAUUAUUGGGCGUAAAGGGCGCGUAGGCGGUGCGGUAAGUCUGAUGUGAAAUCUCCGGGCUCAACUCGGAGUCUGCAUCAGAAACUGCCGUGCUUGAGUGUGGGAGAGGUGAGUGGAAUUCCCGGUGUAGUGGUGGAAUGCGUAGAUAUCGGGAGGAACACCAGUGGCGAAGGCGGUUGCCUGGAGCUUUGCUGACGCUGAUGCGCGAAAGCGUGGGGAGCGA